CUGUGAGCUCGAUGAGUAGGGCGGGACACGUGGUAUCCUGUCUGAAUAUGGGGGGACCAUCCUCCAAGGCUAAAUACUCCUGACUGACCGAUAGUGAACCAGUACCGUGAGGGAAAGGCGAAAAGAACCCCGGCGAGGGGAGUGAAAAAGAACCUGAAACCGUGUACGUACAAGCAGUGGGAGCCUCUUUAUGGGGUGACUGCGUACCUUUUGUAUAAUGGGUCAGCGACUUAUAUUCUGUAGCAAGGUUAACCGAAUAGGGGAGCCGAAGGGAAACCGAGUCUUAACUGGGCGUUAAGUUGCAGGGUAUAGACCCGAAACCCGGUGAUCUAGCCAUGGGCAGGUUGAAGGUUGGGUAACACUAACUGGAGGACCGAACCGACUAAUGUUGAAAAAUUAGCGGAUGACUUGUGGCUGGGGGUGAAAGGCCAAUCAAACCGGGAGAUAGCUGGUUCUCCCCGAAAGCUAUUUAGGUAGCGCCUCGUGAAUUCAUCUCCGGGGGUAGAGCACUGUUUCGGCAAGGGGGUCAUCCCGACUUACCAACCCGAUGCAAACUGCGAAUACCGGAGAAUGUUAUCACGGGAGACACACGGCGGGUGCUAACGUCCGUCGUGAAGAGGGAAACAACCCAGACCGCCAGCUAAGGUCCCAAAGUCAUGGUUAAGUGGGAAACGAUGUGGGAAGGCCCAGACAGCCAGGAUGUUGGCUUAGAAGCAGCCAUCAUUUAAAGAAAGCGUAAUAGCUCACUGGUCGAGUCGGCCUGCGCGGAAGAUGUAACGGGGCUAAACCAUGCACCGAAGCUGCGGCAGCGAC
Molecule: ribosomal RNA, 813 nt
Filed under: Escherichia coli
Lineage: Bacteria; Pseudomonadati; Pseudomonadota; Gammaproteobacteria; Enterobacterales; Enterobacteriaceae
Also listed under: 1 other name
Description: partial 23S ribosomal RNA
Rfam family: Bacterial large subunit ribosomal RNA
Source: RNAcentral